This 380-nucleotide unclassified non-coding RNA is filed under the name fungal sp. Its description in RNAcentral is "partial internal transcribed spacer region". The stretch from base 1 to 46 matches the Rfam family "Eukaryotic small subunit ribosomal RNA", at positions 1786 to 1831 of the family's 1831-position model. Lineage: Eukaryota; Fungi. The record is from RNAcentral.
AAGUCGUAACAAGGUUUCCGUAGGUGAACCUGCGGAAGGAUCAUUAACACGUAUCCAAACGUUAAACCCCCCUGAACCUUCAGUCGUACUCGUACGUCCGUUAGAAAAAGCAGCAAUCCCUGGUAAAUCAUCGCCGAACCGUCGGCCGUGUGGGCCUCCAACGAUCGUGACUCAUCCUUACACAUGUUAGUGACACUUUCAGACACUAACGCUAGUGACACAUUCAGACACUAACUGCUUGGGGAUGCCAGGCCACUUACACGCACAACAUGCACGCUCCUUGCAGACGUCCCUGAAUCGAAACCUACCGUCACCGGGCGCAAGCCCCCUUAUCACACCCCUGCUCUAUCUAUGGUGAUCCUGCGGGAAGUCCUGUUCUC